UACGCAGGUGGCAAGCGUUGUCCGGAAUUAUUGGGCGUAAAGCGCGCGCAGGUGGUUUCUUAAGUCUGAUGUGAAAGCCCACGGCUCAACCGUGGAGGGUCAUUGGAAACUGGGGAACUUGAGUGCAGGAGAGAAGAGUGGAAUUCCACGUGUAGCGGUGAAAUGCGUAGAGAUGUGGAGGAACACCAGUGGCGAAGGCGACUCUUUGGCUGUAACUGACGCUGAGGAGCGAAAGCAUGGGGAGCGAACAGGAUU
Molecule: ribosomal RNA, 255 nt
Filed under: uncultured bacterium
Lineage: Bacteria
Description: partial 16S ribosomal RNA
Rfam family: Bacterial small subunit ribosomal RNA
Source: RNAcentral